CCUACGGGUGGCAGCAGUGAGGAAUAUUGGUCAAUGGGAGAGAUCCUGAACCAGCAAAGCCGCGUGAGGGAAGACGGCCCUAUGGGUUGUAAACCUCUUUUGUCGGAGAACAAAACCCGGGACGCGUCCGGACUGCGUGUAUCCGAAGUAAAAGCAUCGGCUAACUCCGUGCCAGCAGCCGCGGUAAUACGGGGGAUGCGAGCGUUAUCCGGAGUGAUUGGGUUUAAGGGGUGCGUAGGCGGGCUGUUCAGUCAGCGGUAAAAGUGCGGGGCUAAACCCCGUCGAGCCGUUGAAACUGGCAGACUUGAGUUGGCGAGAAGUACGCGGAAUGCGCGGGGUAGCGGUGAAAUGCAUAGAUAGCGCGCAGAACUCCGAUGGCGAAGGCAGCGUACCGGCGCCAGACUGACGCUGAGGCACGAAAGCGUGGGGAUCGAACAGGAUUAGAUACCCUUGUAGUC
Molecule: ribosomal RNA, 458 nt
Filed under: uncultured bacterium
Lineage: Bacteria
Description: partial 16S ribosomal RNA
Rfam family: Bacterial small subunit ribosomal RNA
Source: RNAcentral